Molecule: non-coding RNA, 57 nt
Submitted as: unclassified sequences
Source: Rfam
AUCGUUCAAUCCUUGUUUAGGAGGAUCGGAAGUAGGGGUGACCCAAAGGAACGCGGA